Molecule: long non-coding RNA, 1899 nt
Organism: Andrographis paniculata
Lineage: Eukaryota; Viridiplantae; Streptophyta; Magnoliopsida; Lamiales; Acanthaceae
Exons: 2
Source: RefSeq, a predicted model, not a curated record
GCUCCUUUAUCCCUAAUUUGGUACCGAUCGAUUUUUGGAUGAAUUUAUUCCUAAUUUGGUAGCGUAAAGGAGGAUUUGGAUAUUGUUUUUUUUUUUUUUUUUUUUUUUUGUGUAGUUCUGUAAGCUUUCUUCAAUGGCGGAUUUGAUGGAAUUUGGUGUAUUUGGUUACAGUGGUUAAGGUUGAAUCAAGAUUCAAUUAGGAUUGGUGAAUUUGUAGAAAUCAUUGAUUGAUUGAUUGAUUAAAUUGUUUGUGGCAUUUGUUGUUGAUGGAUUUGUUUGGAUGGUUCUUUUGUUGGCAAUUAGGGUUCUUAACCAACAAAAGAACCAAAUGAUAGAUCUUGAAACUUGUGAUUCUUUUAACCUUAGAAUUGUGCAUUGUAAGUUUUGAAUUUUUAUUUAAAUAAUGUUUGAUGAGAAGUUUUAUGAAAGAAAAGAAUUUGAGUAACUUGAAAUACAAAUGGUAAAAUAAUUGUAAGAUUGUGUAGAGACUCAAAAGAAACACAUCCUGGUGAAGAUUGAAGUUGGUGGGCAAAAAAAUUAACCGAAUCGUUGAACCGAAUUGAAUUGAACCGAAUUUAUGGUUGAUCGAGCAAAUUAGGUUCGAAUACAAAUACUGCAUAUUUGAUAUAUUUGCUCGGUUCGGUUCAGUUUCGGUUUUUGAUAUUUUUUCAGUUCAGUUAAUUAUAUUUUAAAUUUUAUAAGGGUGUGUUUGUUUGGGGUUUGGAUUUUGAGUUGGGAUUUGAAUAGUAAAAAUUUUGAAUUUGAAUAGUUGUAUAAUGUAAUAUAAACAGGUGUUGAUUUGAUAUUUUGAAUGUAAAAUUGAUUUUUAGUAUAAUAUAAAAAAUAAAAAAUAGGUGUUGAUUUGAUAUUUUGAAUGUAAAAUUGAUUUUUAGUAUAAUAUAAAAAAUAAAAAAUAGGUGUUUGAUUUGAUGGUUUUGGAGGGGGGAAAUUGGAUGAAUAGAGUAAAUCCAAUCCAAUUUCCCAAACAAACACACCCUAGUUAUAUUUGAUUCGGUUUCGGUUUGGUCACGGGGUUCGAUUUCGAUUCGAAUAUUUGAAAUAUUUGUAAAUAUUUUGAUUUAAUUAGAAUUUUAAUUAUUUUUUAAUAUAUUCUUUUUUAAUUUCGGUUCGGUUCGAAUUAUUUGCAAAUAUUACAAAUAUUUUCAGUUCGAAUAUGGUUCACGAUUUCGGGUAUUUGUUCGGUUCGGUUCGGUUCGGAUAUCAAAUACCUGCAUAUUUGCAAAUAUCUGAACCGUGCCCACCCCAAUAUAUAAGCACAUGAUAUUUCGAAUUAUGAGACGCAAUUUAGCAUAAUUUGCUCGAACAUAUGAUAGAACUCUUUAUAGUCUCGUCGGUCUAAUUUUAACAUUUUGACUUUUUGACGAACUUCUCCAUAAAAGAUAAGAUAAAUAAAUGUAUCUCAUUACACUGAAUGGGUAGGGGUCGUUGGAGUGAAUGAGGGUAUUAUAUUAGUCGAUCUUGACGUAUUUUUCCUUCCGAAUGUACUUAUCUUUUAGGACACUAUCUUAUUUCAUUGGUUUUCGUUGUAAUAUGGUCUAAAACCGUGUAGUUAAGUAAUCGGAUGCAUCAUUUACUUUUUCAGUAACUAGGUCGGAUGUCCCCGGCACUCAUAUAUAUAAUGUAGAAGCACAAUCUAGUCGGGCAUUUGAGUUUGAACCGGCGAAAUUACUUUGAUCUUCAUUUGUUCGUUCGUUGCUUUUGAGGGCGUUUAUGAGAUUAUUUUGUUCGGGAACUUUUGUAACCAUCUCUAGUUGUCUUGUUUCUUGUUUUUCGCUAACAAUCCGUGGCUGCAAAAAUGCAGGCUCGGUUGCAUCCGAUGGGCGAUUUCGAUACGAAAAACUGAUGUAGAUUCGGGAUCUCGUUGUUACGGUUGAUAAU